Molecule: long non-coding RNA, 452 nt
Organism: Sciurus carolinensis (gray squirrel)
Lineage: Eukaryota; Metazoa; Chordata; Mammalia; Rodentia; Sciuridae
Exons: 3
Source: RefSeq, a predicted model, not a curated record
AGCAAAGUGAGCAGCUGAGGGGAGGGAAGGAGAUUCCAGGUAGUCAGGAGCAGUCGAUCUGGUCUUGAAGUGGAUGGCAGCAUGUGAGGAUAAUGACCAGCCAACCAUGAUCUUCCAGGUUAGCCACAUACAGGCAGAGAUCUUGAAGGCUGGACUGCUGGACUUGAGAGAGAAAUGCCUGUCAAUUCUGGAAGCCCCACUCCCACCCCUAGAUGAAAGCAGCAACAAAAGAUUGGAGGUUGAAUUGAGAACUGAAGCCUUUCUCCAGAUGGGCAAUACAUCAAAAAGUGGUGAUGUGUUCUAAAGAUACCUCUAAAAGGUGGUGGAAACUGAAAAAUGAAAAUUUUAAACUUGGUAAACCAUACCUGAGAUAUCUUGAGUUGGAAUCAUGUAAUUACAGAGGUUCUGACACAGAUAUCAGAUGGAUUGUACUUCUUGUUUCCUUUGUAAUU